AGCAAGUCAUGGAAUUGUUGAAAGGGAAGCUAGGGCCACCAGACGCGUCCACGGGAAAUUCCUUCGGUAGUGUUGACGGUGCAGUGAACGCAGGUCUGAACAGCAUCGGUAUGUCAUCUAGGAUAAAAUCCCCCGGAGAGUAGGUCCUCUCGCAAGUAGAUAUAUCCGGAGAUGCAAAGCACUCCGAAAAGGACCGAGGACCGCGCUUGGGAUAGGAGAAAGGGGUAAUGGUGCUAACAGACCCGUCUUGAAACACGGACCAAGGAGUCUAACAUGUAUGCGAGUGUAUAUCCAUCCCACCCAUGGGCGUAAUGAAAGUGAACGGACCCCGGGACCGUUCAGGGUGCACCAUCGACCGAUCCCCGGUCUUCAAUAUGGAUUUGAGUAAGAGCAUAGCUGUUGGGACCCGAAAGAUGGUGAGUAAUGCCUGAAUAGGGUGAAUCCAGAGGCAACUACCGAGGAGGCUCGCAUCGAUUCGGACGUGCAAAUCGAUAACCCAAAUGGGGAAUAGGGGUGAAAGGAUAAUAGAACCUUGUCUUACUAGAUGGGACACGGGCCAGCGUGACGUCAGUAGUACCCGCGUGCGGCGGGGCAGACAUGUUGGGGUCUCUUCGGAGACGCCUCCGGGCUGAAUACAGUGAACCCAGGGGUCAUUCACAGGGUAAGUGGCGGCGGCUGUGGCCUGGAGCUCGGUUAGCAUAAU
Molecule: ribosomal RNA, 703 nt
Filed under: Acarospora atrata
Lineage: Eukaryota; Fungi; Ascomycota; Lecanoromycetes; Acarosporales; Acarosporaceae
Description: partial large subunit ribosomal RNA
Rfam family: Eukaryotic large subunit ribosomal RNA
Source: RNAcentral